This 494-nucleotide ribosomal RNA is filed under the name uncultured bacterium. Its description in RNAcentral is "partial 16S ribosomal RNA". It matches the Rfam family "Bacterial small subunit ribosomal RNA", at positions 30 to 507 of the family's 1533-position model. The record is from RNAcentral.
AUUGAACGCUGGCGGCAUGCUUUACACAUGCAAGUCGAACGACAGCGUGGAGGAGCUUGCUUCUCUACCGUCGAGUGGCGAGCGUGUGUGUAAUACAUCUGAACGAGUCAAAAAGAGGGGGAUAACCACCCGAAACGGUGCCUAAUACGGCAUAAAUACUGAGCAGGAAAGCUGGGUAGCGAGAAAUAGUCCUAGCGCUUUUUAAACAUCCGAUGUCGGAUUAGCUAGUUGGUGAGGUAAAGGCUCACCAAGGCGAAGAUCUGUAACAGGUCUGAGAGGAUGAUCCGCCACACUGGGACUGAGACACGGCCCAGACUCCUACGGGAGGCAGCAGUGGGGAAUUUUCGACAAUGGGCGCAAGCCUGAUCCAGCCAUGCCGCGUGUAUGAAGAAGGCCUUAGGGUUGUAAAGUACUGUUGUUAGGGAAGAAAAAUCAGCUGAGAAUAAUGGCUGAUACUGACGGUACCUAAAGAAUAAGCCACGGCUAACUACGUG